GACGAACGCUGGCGGCGUGCUUAACACAUGCAAGUCGAACGGAAAGGCCCUGCUUUUGUGGGGUGCUCGAUUGGCGAACGCGGGAGUAACACGUGAGUAACCUGCCCUUGACUUUGUGGUAACUUCACGGAACUGGGGCUCAUACCGGGUAUGAUCUCCUGCUGCACGGUGGUGGUUGGAGAGUUUCGGCGGUUUGGGAUGGACUCGCGGCUUAUCAGCUUGUUGGGGGGGUAGUGGCUUUCCAAGCCUUUGACGGGUAGCCGGCAUGAGAGGGUGACCGGCCACAUUGGUACUGAGAGACGCCCCAGAAGCCUACGGGAGGCAGCAGGGGGAAGUAUUGCGCAAUGGGCGGAAGCGUGAGGCAGAAGCGCCGCGUGCGGAAUGACGGCCUUCGGGUUAUAAACAGCUUUCGAAGGUGACGUAGAGUGCGUGACGGUAAUGGGUAAAGAAGCACCGGCUAACUACGUG
RNAcentral lists this ribosomal RNA (468 nucleotides) under uncultured bacterium. RNAcentral's name for it is "partial 16S ribosomal RNA". It matches the Rfam family "Bacterial small subunit ribosomal RNA", at positions 28 to 507 of the family's 1533-position model. The record is from RNAcentral.